UAUUUAACCUUCGAUAGCUCAGUUGGUAGAGCGGAGGACUGUAGAUCCUUAGGUCGCUGGUUCAACUCUGGCUCGAAUAA
RNAcentral lists this transfer RNA (80 nucleotides) under Gadus morhua (Atlantic cod). RNAcentral describes it as "tRNA-Tyr (GTA) (tRNA-Tyr-GTA-29-1)". It matches the Rfam family "tRNA". From Rfam's summary of the family: Transfer RNA (tRNA) molecules are approximately 80 nucleotides in length. Their secondary structure includes four short double-helical elements and three loops (D, anti-codon, and T loops). Lineage: Eukaryota; Metazoa; Chordata; Actinopteri; Gadiformes; Gadidae. The record is from RNAcentral.